RNAcentral lists this non-coding RNA (90 nucleotides) under pig gut metagenome. Its description in RNAcentral is "THF riboswitch". It matches the Rfam family "THF (Tetrahydrofolate) riboswitch aptamer". Rfam says of the family: THF riboswitch presents a pseudoknot that joins P1-P2 and the loop of P3 and two THF binding. The record is from RNAcentral.
GCAGAGUAAACUCAAUGCGUUAAGUGUUGUGAGAUGGGAUGUUGCUCACAAACGAAAAGCUAUGCUUGCGAUAUUGAGUUGCGUCCGUUG